RNAcentral lists this ribosomal RNA (440 nucleotides) under uncultured bacterium. Its description in RNAcentral is "partial 16S ribosomal RNA". It matches the Rfam family "Bacterial small subunit ribosomal RNA", at positions 338 to 795 of the family's 1533-position model. The record is from RNAcentral.
CCUACGGGCGGCAGCAGUAGGGAAUAUUGCACAAUGGGGGAAACCCUGAAGCAGCAACGCCGCGUGGAUGAUGAAGGUCUUCGGAUCGUAAACUCCUGUUGUGAGAGAAGAUAAUGACGGUAUCUCACGAAUAAGCACCGGCUAACUACGUGCCAGCAGCCGCGGUAAUACGGAGGGGGCAAGCGUUACUCGGAAUGACUGGGCGUAAAGAGGGCGCAGGCGGGGUUGCAAGCCAGAUGUGAAAGCCUGUGGCUUAACUACAGAACUGCAUUUGAAACUAUGUGUCUGGAGUGCGGGAGAGGUAGGUGGAAUUCUUGGUGUAGGGGUAAAAUCCGUAGAUAUCAGGAGGAAUACCGAUUGCGAAGGCGGCCUACUGGAACGUAACUGACGCUCAUGCACGAAAGCGUGGGGAGCAAACAGGAUUAGAUACCCAUGUAGUC